AUUGAACGCUGGCGGCAGGCUUAACACAUGCAAGUCGAGCGGAGAGAGGUAGCUUGCUACUGAUCUUAGCGGCGGACGGGUGAGUAAUGCUUAGGAAUCUGCCUAUUAGUGGGGGACAACAUCUCGAAAGGAAUGCUAAUACCGCAUACGUCCUACGGGAGAAAGCAGGGGAUCUUCGGGCCUUGCGCUAAUAGAUGAGCCUAAGUCGGAUUAGCUAGUUGGUGGGGUAAAGGCCUACCAAGGCGACGAUCUGUAGCGGGUCUGAGAGGAUGAUCCGCCACACUGGGACUGAGACACGGCCCAGACUCCUACGGGAGGCAGCAGUGGGGAAUAUUGGACAAUGGGCGCAAGCCUGAUCCAGCCAUGCCGCGUGUGUGAAGAAGGCCUUAUGGUUGUAAAGCACUUUAAGCGAGGAGGAGGCUACUUUAGAUAAUACCUAGAGAUAGUGGACGUUACUCGCAGAAUAAGCACCGGCUAACUCUGUGCCAGCAGCCGCCGUAA
RNAcentral lists this ribosomal RNA (501 nucleotides) under uncultured bacterium. RNAcentral describes it as "partial 16S ribosomal RNA". It matches the Rfam family "Bacterial small subunit ribosomal RNA", at positions 30 to 523 of the family's 1533-position model. The record is from RNAcentral.